UGAGCAUUCUCGGGCUGUGCAAGUUCGGUCCGGGGCGAUAAUACGAAGCCACUCUUUUCACAGGGCAAUAAUGUACGACCCUAUAAUUCGCGUCCACUAAUCUGAGUCCCUUGGCUUUCAAUUAUCGGGCUGCGCAUUAUUGGUACGGGUCGAGAAUGCUCGACCCAAUAAUGUACAUCCCAAUAAUUGGAAGCCAAAAACCAGAGACAUUUUUUUUUUUAAGACAGCUGUCAAAAUUAGUAGGGACGUUCUGACAUGAGCUCUUGACAGUUUAAAAAUAAUCGGUUUUUUCUAGUGACAUCUUUCAAUGAUAUUGACAGUGUUGACACGUGUUGGUUUACAUUACGCUUUGUUAUCAUCUUUUUAUUUUUAAUGUAUGGUUUUCAAGAGCUCUAAUACUUGUAAUGUAUGCAUGAAAUCAUAUGGCAAGAGAACCUAAAUCGUUUUGGAACUAUAUGAACUCUAAAAGAAACAGUAGAGACUACAUGAGGGAAAUACAGCAGUAUGUAGAUUAUGAAGAGCACAGAUUGAAUCCAGCAGUGACAUGGGCCAUUUGUUCAAUAGAAUAUCUUGGUUAUAUGGAGAUUGGCUGAGAAAGCAAGGUGUAUGCUACAAGGUGCAGGUUUCUGCAAAAUAUAUUAGGGAGCUGAUACAGGCAGCCAGAAUGAGUCUGCUGGGUCGCCGGCGCCGGACGCGCGACGCGCGCCUCGGGCGUCUGACGUCUUCGUGUCUCUCGCCAGUUGCAGGGGAAGAUGCGAAUAGUUAUAAAGGCGUGCAUGACGUCGCUAAAAAAUGAUAGAUAUAAUACUAAUCUUGUUGCCCGAGGUAUUCCUCAAGUUCACGGGGUAGAUUACAGGUGUAGUGCAUAAUCCUUUACCAUUUUGACGACCACUCUGGCCUAGUAGGUAGUGAUCCUGCUUAUGAAGCCGAUGAUCCUGGGUUCGAAUCUCGCGGUAACGGAAUUUAUUUUAGUGAUGAGUACAGAUAUUUGUAGCUGAGUCAUGGAAGUUUUCUAUGUGGGAAUUAUUCAAUUUGUGUAAGAAUAUCCCUUUAAUACUUGUUUAUUUAUUUUUCGUAUUUUCUCGGAAACGUUGCUAUUCGUCAUGCUACUUCAGUCAACCUCAAUACUUAUUGUACUGAAUGACCGAAAAAGCAUGACACGUUCGUACGUUUUCGUGAAAAUACGUUGGUAAAGGAAAUUGCACUACAUUUUUAAAACCUGUCAGUAAAAUAUGAAAAAGGAAAGUUCAUGAGUUUCAUAAUUUUCUUUCCUCCAACAGCUUCCCAUGGAGCAAAUGUAAACCUUUUGUGCAUGUCAAUAGUUCUCAAAUGGAAUUGGAAUAAGUCAUAAUAUAAUCGUAGAUCAAAAUUAGUACAUUACGAUAUACUCGUAUAAGGAGUGUACCGAAAAAAAACUGUAAACUUCAAAUGAAAAAAAACUGAUGCAGUUGAGAACAAAUUAAGUUUUUUAGAAUAACUACAAUAAAAAGCGACUUUUAAUUUAGAUAAUUGUCACUUUUUUUUAUUUGUUCUGUAGGAGUGAUAGGCAGCUUGUUCCUAGCGCAUUCAGUGGCAGCUUUUUACGGACCCGUUUUUCAUAUUUGCCUGCAUCACCCCCGUCACCUGCUGGAAUUGUUAAUGUUUUUUGGCUGUUUCAUUCUUCUCUUUUAAUACACUUUUGAUUUGAGCCCAAUAAUAGUUGAUAGAACGGCACUGCAGGACGUUUGGAGCUCGUACUCUAUUCUAUGUCAACUGCCAAAUGCGAUUUUUGUAGGAAGGAAAUUGUAUGAUUUUCGAUUUGGCCUAGAAUGAUUAUUAUUCCAAGAUUAAUAAUUCUGGUUUUACGCUGUUCGACUUUACACCGGCAAAUAAAAGAGAUGCCUAAAAAUAUUAAUCAACAUCUCCAGAAAUAAUCAUUUUCUAAAAAUGCAACAUUUUAAAAUAAAUUUAAGAAAGAGAUCAACAUUUAAACACACUUUUAGUGCUUUAUAGGUUUCUAGAACAUAUAAGUCAUUAAGUUACAUUCUUAUUUUGGUAAAAAAAAUAGCAAAAA
Cydia pomonella (codling moth) is the source of this 2053-nucleotide long non-coding RNA. RefSeq lists it as uncharacterized. The transcript has 3 exons. NCBI's taxonomy places the organism in Eukaryota, Metazoa, Arthropoda, Insecta, Lepidoptera, Tortricidae. The record is from RefSeq and is a predicted model, not a curated record.